Long non-coding RNA from Homo sapiens (human), 407 nucleotides. Lineage: Eukaryota; Metazoa; Chordata; Mammalia; Primates; Hominidae. The record is from Ensembl.
GGGUCUGCAGUCACACAGCCAACUUGCGCUUGUGGCAGUGGCAAGGUUGGUGAGUAUCUGAGUCUUCAGGCCACGGCAUUUUCCGCUCGAGUGGAGCCUGCCUCAGCCUGUUCCUUUAACAUCAGCUUCUGAAACUAUCUCUGCAGAAGUUCUGAGGGUACCCCUCACUCAAGCUCCAGGCGUCAGGAAAAGAACAUUCCACGAAGUCCAUCUGGAAGACGGUCCUUUCCCUGCUGCCCCCAGCUUCUAGAACAUUCCCUGGAACACAGCAAGUGUUCAGUAUUGUUCAUGGAGUGACAGAUGUCUCAGCCAAGAAGGUACAAUCACAGGGAAGAAUGACUUCAACUGGUCUUGACUUCAACCUGCUUCCAGCCUGGUUCCCUUCUCCCACCUCCCUACAGCCCACA